This is a non-coding RNA of Paramisgurnus dabryanus, 960 nucleotides long. NCBI's taxonomy places the organism in Eukaryota, Metazoa, Chordata, Actinopteri, Cypriniformes, Cobitidae. The record is from RefSeq and is a predicted model, not a curated record.
GACGCGCAAUGACUCUUGGGAUAUCCUCGGCUGUUAAGGAUCCAUUCGUUCUAUCCUUAACAUCGCGGAGAAAUGAGGACGCAUUUUGAGGCUUCAUUCUAAGCAUCCUUUGAAAUGGGACGGCCUUACUGGCCUCAAGUCGCGCUGCUGUGACGCAAUCGGUCUUAAAAUACGUCCUUAGAAGGUCGCAGCCUUUGAAUUGGGACACAGCUAAAGUGCCAGCAGAGGAUCCAAAAUAAUGAAAAAAAAAAAAAACAUCCAAUGCAACUUGGAAAUUGUAGUCAAAAUACAUCUACAGCAGCAUGCUAAAGCAGUACCAACGCCAGGGCAAAAGACUCAAAUUCCCAGAAUGCACCUGCACCCACCCAUUCAUUCCCACCAAUCAGGAUCAACGGCAUUUUUCAAACCGCUACUGACUCGUUUUCAUGCUAAACAGUACGGCUGAGGUAAGUUUGACUUUCAUUCCUUUACAUCGCGCAGAUCUGUUCCAUAUUUGUUCCUAUUUUGUUCUUCACUGUGAUUAUUUUUGUCUUUAUGCGAGAAGUGUUUUAAUUUUAAGCACACACAGGAAACAUUAAGAAGGUCAUGUACCAUGUGGUCGACCUUGCUGACGCUGAAGAGGUUUCUGUGUAAAAAUGAUGACAUUGAGACAAACAGACCAGUUCUGGCUGCCGUGGAGGUCAACACACCACUGAUCUACUGGCUGCCCUUCAACGUGAUGCCCAGCCGAUGCCUGACCACCGACGGAACUAGGGCUGCACGAUAAGUCGCAUGUGUUUGUCAGGCGCAUCUCCUCAGUAAUGCCGGUUCCUUGAUUAGUAUUAAAUCGCCAUCAGCUGUUUUCAGAUGUAGCAGCUUUAACUACACAGAGCCGUAGUUCACUGACAAUCGGGGCAAUUUCGCAUUAAUUAUCGCGGACGUAUCGGCUGCGAUAUGGCCCAGCUUGUCAGGGAACUACGG